CUCAGCAGCAGCCGUUAGCCCGGCCCGCUGCCCCAGGCUGGAACUCACCUGCGGAGCCAGACCUGUCCUGAGGCCACUGACCGGCCAACAGACCUUCGGACGUCAUUCCCUAGGCCCGAAUUCUGAUGUUAAUUUCUGUUCUCACUGUGUAACACUGACCUGCCAAGAAUUCCCUGUGUAGACUAGGAUGGCCUUGAAUUCCUGAAGUUCCAUGUACCUGCUUCAGUCUCCAGAGUGCUGAGAUUUAAAGCGUGCACCUACGUGGUGCAGCGCCCAACAUUAAAUAUUAGUAUUCUUUUCACCACGAAGAAUAUUACUAAAGAGAUAAGUUGACCCCUUUGCUCAGGUGCCAGAAUAUCCAUGGAAACUGGACUCCACCAAUUUCCCAUAGCUGGCUAGGGGCAAGUCAGUAACACGCCUGUGCUGCAUGGCCGCCACCUAACCCUGUGCUGGCAGACGAUGCUGUUUACUUGUGCAUCCAGAGCAAGAUCCUCCAAUUUCAAAUUUAAGCCAACCUGCUAUGCCAACUUGCUGGCCACACGCACAGAGGAGGUGUUAGGUCACCAGGGUGUGCCACUGAAGAAGACCCUGAGACAAGCAGUCCUUCCUCUUUUUCAUUUUCUGGCUGCAGUAGGUGAGCAGCUAUAUCCUACACACUGUUCCCACAGCGUGCUGACAUGCUACAGGUCCCACAGCAAUGGGGCAGCCAACUGUGGACUCAAACUUCCAAAAUGAUGAACCAAAAUGUAUCCUCUGUAUUUUUCCCCUAAGACAGGGUAUCACUAAACAGACCGUGCUGCCCUCAAAUCCAGAGAUCCACUUGAUUCUGCCUUAAAGAACUAAGAUUAAAGAUGCGCACCACCACAAUGGACAGGCUUUUUCUAAGACAUUUAUUUCAGGCAUCUUUAACAGUGACAAACACCUGACUAUCAAAGCUCAA
Molecule: long non-coding RNA, 940 nt
Organism: Meriones unguiculatus (Mongolian gerbil)
Lineage: Eukaryota; Metazoa; Chordata; Mammalia; Rodentia; Muridae
Exons: 3
Source: RefSeq, a predicted model, not a curated record